RNAcentral lists this long non-coding RNA (653 nucleotides) under Homo sapiens (human). RNAcentral's name for it is "HSALNT0406894". Lineage: Eukaryota; Metazoa; Chordata; Mammalia; Primates; Hominidae. The record is from RNAcentral.
GGGUUUCAUUCUGUCGCCCAGGCUGGAGUGCAGUGGCACCAUCUCUGCUCACUGCAACCUGGACAUCCCAGGCUCAAAUGAUCCUCCCACCUCAGCAUCCCAAGUAGCUGGGACUACAGUCUUUUUUAGCCGAUUAUGGUCUCCUAACGUGUCCGGAAUUGGUGGAUUCUUGGUCUCGCUGACUUCAAGAAUGAAGCUACGGACCGUCACGAUGUUCCGGGGCUGAUCUUGAGACAGACACACCAAGCCUAGAGAUCCAGCUGCAAAGUUCCAGAGAUUACUUCAAGGUGGCUAGCCAACAACCCAGCCAUUGUGGAGAUGACAUCAGCCCAAAGGCCAGGUGGACUGGGACCCAAGACAGCCACCAGCAUAAGACACACAGACAUUUUGCUCAGCCCGAGGUCCAGGUGGACUGGGUCCCAAGACAGCCACCAGGACAAGACACAAAGGCAUUGUACUCAGCCCAAUUCUUGCAUGCCUUUCUUAACAAGUUUUCCCCUUUUUAAACCCCUUCCUUCCCCCCACCAAAUUGAAGUGGUUACUUUGGAUAGGCAUCCAAUCAUUUCCCCUUCACUAGUUUUGGUUAAUAAAGUCAUUUUCUUUCUACCAGACCUCACUCUUGUUACUGGACUCUGUACGCAGUGAGCAUCCGG